RNAcentral lists this long non-coding RNA (286 nucleotides) under Elaeis guineensis (African oil palm). RNAcentral's name for it is "long non-coding RNA (EGUI_LNC014220)". The record is from RNAcentral. Lineage: Eukaryota; Viridiplantae; Streptophyta; Magnoliopsida; Arecales; Arecaceae.
AUCAAACAAUCAGACUCUAGUUCUAAGACUAAUUUGAACUUGAUAAAUAAAGUCAACCUUCUUGCCCAGAAGUUAGAUCAGUUUCUAACCCUAGGUCAACAAUCUCCUAUACAAUACACACACCUCACAAUUAUUAGGAGAUUUAUUCUAUCUGUGCUAGCCCAACCCAUCAUGUAAGUGAAUGUCCCACGGCUGCACAGUUUUCACCUUUCAUCUAAGAAUAAGUUCAAGCUACCCAAGAUUACUUCAAGCCUGUUAAUGACCCAUUUUCAAACACAUAUAACCC